AGCUCUUCUCUAUUAGUUUUGCCUUAGCUAGAACUGCUGAGUAGGUGCUGAGCUACCAAGAUCCAGAUCCUGAACAGCAAGAAAAAGGUUGUGAAUAAAGCUGCUCCCGUAUCCCAUCAUAUUUGCCCAGCAGAGGUUAACUCCAUAAGAUCUUUAGUUGUGUUUUCUUUUAUUUAUUUAUUCUGUUAUUGAAAUCUUACUUAAAGGGACAUUCCCGUAACCUAUUGAACAU
This 232-nucleotide long non-coding RNA is filed under the name Carica papaya (papaya). RNAcentral's name for it is "long non-coding RNA (CPAP_LNC007844)". Lineage: Eukaryota; Viridiplantae; Streptophyta; Magnoliopsida; Brassicales; Caricaceae. The record is from RNAcentral.